GAUCCGUUACUUCGGGAAAAGGAUUGGUUCUAAGGGCCGCGUCACACAGGCCGAGAUACGUGUUGGCGCAGUUGGAGGCUAGUUUCUUUGCUGCUUUUUGUGCUUCGGUGCGCAUUUUUGUGGAGCUACUGGGCUCUGACCACGAUCGAUCGUGGUUGGUUUUAGCUGUAAGUGUUACGUUGCUAGCAAUGCGCCUGGACUCGCUCUGCAUUGCGUCAAGCGGCUGUGCUUCCAUUGUUUGGCGUGCGACGGCGAACUUAGAACUGACAC
This 270-nucleotide non-coding RNA is filed under the name Trichobilharzia regenti. The record is from Rfam by way of RNAcentral. Lineage: Eukaryota; Metazoa; Platyhelminthes; Trematoda; Strigeidida; Schistosomatidae.